AUGGCUUCUACUUGCUACUUCCUCUCAUUUCCUUCACUGUCCAAGCCAUUGCCACCGUCUCUUCUCCCUCUCAAAUUCUUCACAGCUCGGCCCUGCAAAACCCAAUCCACCAACUUAUCUUCCUCCGCCACCACAGCGGGCGUCCAAGAUGAUCCCAAAACAACCUCUCUGCCCAUGUCCAUCGAUAACCUUCACCGCUUCUUUGACCUCAAUAUAGGCAAAUGGCACGGAUCUUUCCACCAAUUUGAUGCUAAUGGGAAAUUGAUGCAAAAAGUGAGCACA
This 282-nucleotide unclassified non-coding RNA is filed under the name Hevea brasiliensis (rubber tree). Lineage: Eukaryota; Viridiplantae; Streptophyta; Magnoliopsida; Malpighiales; Euphorbiaceae. The record is from RNAcentral.